AUUGAACGCUGGCGGAAUGCUUUACACAUGCAAGUCGAACGGCAGCACGGACUUCGGUCUGGUGGCGAGUGGCGAACGGGUGAGUAAUGUAUCGGAACGUGCCCAGUCGUGGGGGAUAACGUAGUGAUAAUUACGCUAAUACCGCAUACGAUCUAUGGAUGAAAGCGGGGGAUCGCAGACCUCGCGCGAUUGGAGCGGCCGAUAUCAGAUUAGGUAGUUGGUGGGGUAAAGGCCCACCAAGCCAACGAUCUGUAGCUGGUCUGAGAGGACGACCAGCCACACUGGAACUGAGACACGGUCCAGACUCCUACGGGAGGCAGCAGUGGGGAAUUUUGGACAAUGGGCGAAAGCCUGACCCAGCCAUUCCGCGUGCAGGAUGAAGGCCCUCGGGUUGUAAACUGCUUUUGUACAGAACGAAAAGGUUUCUACUAAUACUAGGAGCUCAUGACGGUACUGUAAGAAUAAGCACCGGCUAACUACGUGCCAGCCGCCGCAGUAA
Molecule: ribosomal RNA, 499 nt
Filed under: uncultured bacterium
Lineage: Bacteria
Description: partial 16S ribosomal RNA
Rfam family: Bacterial small subunit ribosomal RNA
Source: RNAcentral